CCUACGGGAGGCAGCAGUGAGGAAUAUUGGUCAAUGGCCGAGAGGCUGAACCAGCCAAGUCGCGUGAGGGAAGACGGCCCUACGUGUUGUAAACCUCUUUUGUCGGGGAGCAAAGCGAGUCACGUGUGACUCAUUGAGAGUACCCGUAGGAAAAGCAUCGGCUAACUCCGUGCCAGCAGCCGCGGUAAUACGGGGGAUGCGAGCGUUAUCCGGAUUUAUUGGGUUAAAGGGGUGCGCAGGCGGAGGUGCAAGUCAGCGGUCAAAUUGCGGGGCUCAACCCCGUACUGCCGUUGAAACUGCAUGCCUUGAGUGCGCGAGAAGUAAGCGGAAUGCGUGGUGUAGCGGUGAAAUGCAUAGAUAUCACGAAGAACUCCGAUUGCGAAGGCAGCAUACCGGCGCGCAACUGACGCUCAUGCACGAAAGCGUGGGUAUCGAACAGGAUUAGAUACCCCUGUAGUC
RNAcentral lists this ribosomal RNA (459 nucleotides) under uncultured bacterium. RNAcentral describes it as "partial 16S ribosomal RNA". It matches the Rfam family "Bacterial small subunit ribosomal RNA", at positions 338 to 795 of the family's 1533-position model. The record is from RNAcentral.